UCCCUCAUGUUGCUAGUUCGCAGUGUGUUCCUGUGUGUCACCUUGUUCCAGCAUGUUUCCUUGUAGCUUUAUAGUGAUUUUUGACUGUGUCUGCCUUACCGUUUUGCCUUUUGCCUGCUCCCUUUGGCUUUGUUUGCCUUGAAGAUUUGCCUUCCUGUGUACCGACCUGGACCGUAAUUAAACUCUGCCUUUUUCUGAACUCAUCUACAUUGCUGAUGAUCAAACGAUAAUCUGUUUGUGACUGAUGAGUGGAUGUGAACUUUGGAGAGGAGAAACCAGAGCCAUAGCUUGGAGAGCUCCAGCUGUGAUAGUUCCUGAGAAUAUACUGAGGAACUCCUCCUGGAAUCUGUUUGUACCAACGAGCAGAACUAUCAGUCACAGUCCCCAGGUUACAGUCCAUGGUGGCUGUCUCUCCUCUCCUCAGAGUCACAACAGGAGGCUUCUGUGUCACCAGCGUCACAGCACUCACACCUGGAAACAACAAGAUGACAUGGAGUCAAGAGAAACACACAGACUGAUGAAUCCAACAUGAGCUCAAAGCUGCAGUAAGUCAGCCUCCUUACAUGUUAGAGCAGUGAUGAGAGUGCACAGGGUCCCCAGCAUGUUGUCAGUGUGUGCUGUAAACGUCCCUUACUGUCCAGCUGAGAGGUGAGCAGGGUUGGAGUGUGAGGAGAAGAGACACUGAAGCUUAUAAAGACACUGAGGAGGAGGAGAGGAGGAGGAAGAGGAGGAGGAGGAGGAGGAGGAAGAGGAGGAGUUUACACACUCAGCACUGUUUUCAUUCAUUAAUAACAGACAGGAUUUAUGUCUGUUUCUUCCUGUUUGUCAUGUUGUUGUUCCUGUUGUCUUUAGAGGCCUCCUCAUGUCUUUGAGAUCAGUGUUUAUAAUCUAAUGAAGAAAUAAAGUCUACAUGAUUUGAAGUGUAA
Non-coding RNA from Labrus bergylta (ballan wrasse), 926 nucleotides. Lineage: Eukaryota; Metazoa; Chordata; Actinopteri; Labriformes; Labridae. The record is from RefSeq and is a predicted model, not a curated record.